GGGCCACUUCUGUGAGAAUUUUGAAGGCUAAAUUCUCUAAUAUACUCACGGAACCAAGAGGUGUUUCAAGGCCAAAAUGAACACAAACGUGAGAACCAACUAUGUCUGAAGAGAUAUUUUGUGAAUUCUAUUGUCUUGGUUUACACGAAAAGCUGACAGUUCAAAGACAUCAAGUAUACUGAUUAGCCAAGUAAAUCUGAUAGAUUUUACUAGGGCAAGUUCAAAG
Molecule: long non-coding RNA, 226 nt
Filed under: Panax ginseng (ginseng)
Lineage: Eukaryota; Viridiplantae; Streptophyta; Magnoliopsida; Apiales; Araliaceae
Description: long non-coding RNA (PGIN_LNC015512)
Source: RNAcentral